GACGAACGCUGGCGGCGUGCUUAACACAUGCAAGUCGAGCGGUAAGGCCCUUUCGGGGGUACACGAGCGGCGAACGGGUGAGUAACACGUGGGUGACCUGCCCUCAGCUCUGGGAUAAGCCUGGGAAACUGGGUCUAAUACUGGAUAUGACUCCACGGUGCAUGUCGUGGGGUGGAAAGCCUUGUGCGGCUGAGGAUGGGCCCGCGGCCUAUCAGCUUGUUGGUGGGGNGAUGGCCUACCAAGGCGACGACGGGUAGCCGGCCUGAGAGGGCGACCGGCCACACUGGGACUGAGACACGGCCCAGACUCCUACGGGAGGCAGCAGUGGGGAAUCUUGCGCAAUGGGCGAAAGCCUGACGCAGCGACGCCGCGUGAGGGAUGACGGCCUCGGUGU
RNAcentral lists this ribosomal RNA (394 nucleotides) under uncultured bacterium. RNAcentral describes it as "bacterial SSU rRNA". It matches the Rfam family "Bacterial small subunit ribosomal RNA", at positions 28 to 423 of the family's 1533-position model. The record is from RNAcentral.